This 6833-nucleotide long non-coding RNA is filed under the name Homo sapiens (human). RNAcentral's name for it is "long independently transcribed non-coding RNA 2700, transcript variant 14 (LINC02700)". Lineage: Eukaryota; Metazoa; Chordata; Mammalia; Primates; Hominidae. The record is from RNAcentral.
GUGAGACUGUGAAUUCUUCAAAAGCAGGUACUGUGUUUAAUGAAGUGUGCCCAGGACUUUGCUCAGUGACUGGAUGACACAGUAGGAGUAACAAGAAAGUUCACAUGGGUGAACCGUGAAGCAUUUUCUAAAACAAGGUGCAGCAAUCAGUUGAGUGAAUUUGUCACCAGAGCUUAUGUUUUCUGAAAGAACCCUAUCCUCAGGCAGUUGUUCCUAAGAGGACCCCACUGGAAAUCGGACUGUUCAACUCACCUGGCAGCCACUCACAGAGCCCGUGGAACUCUGGCCCAAGGCUCUCUGACUCCUUCUCGGCUUAGCGGCUAAAGACUGACACUGCCCGAUCGCCUCGGAAGCCCCGUAGACCAUCACGGACGCCGAGCUUUAGGUAACUCUCACAGUGGAGGAUGAAGAAACUGAGGUCCAGAGAAGUUAAACGACCUUCCUAAGAUUACACAGCUUAGUAAGUGGCAGAACCACAGCUGGAAGCCAGGUCCUUCCUCACGCAAGUCCUGGCUCAUUCAUUCCUCUUCCAAAGACUUGCUGAGCACCUUCUAGGUGCCAGAUGCGGUGCUGGCUCCUGGGGACAUGGGAGUGAACAGGCCAGGCGUGGCCCUGAACCAUCAAAUAGACAACCACAGAAAUAACAACAACAAAGACAAAACCGGGCCCUUCCACACAGUAGCUGGAACACAAAGGAAGAUCAGCCAAGCCUCAACAUAAUCUCAUAAAAAUUCUUCAAAUAUCCCAUUGUUAUGGAUUCAUACAUCAGGAAAGCAGAUGCCAAGAACCUGAACACCUUCUACUGGUAACAUAUAUUUUGGCGAGCCAGCCUGGAGACAAGACCACUAUGGGCAACUUCCUGUCUAUUCUACCUGGUGUCACUGUGGACAACUUCCUAUCUAUUCCACCCGAUUCACCGCUUGGCUACAUCCUCCACCAUUGGGAUGAAUUUGACCCUAACAAUCUAAAGAAAAGGCAUAUGAUUUUUUACUGCAAUAUUGUUUGACACAAUUAUGAGCUGCCCAAUCCGGAACAAUGGGCAGUCAAUGGUAGCCUUAAUUAUGAUACCAUCCUGUAUCUAGACCUAUUUUACAAGAGGCAGGGCAAAUGGUCAGAAGUCCCACAUAUACAGGCCUACAUGACCCUAUACGAAGACCUAAGAAUCUAGGAAACUCCCAGAACCCAUCCCCCGAAGGAAAGUUCUGGGGCAGAACUAGAUAUUAUAGAUGAACCCCCUUUUACAAGGGAUACCUGUCUCUCAGAGUGAGCAGUGACUGUCCCCAUAUAACCCCUCACCAAGUGCUCCUGAGGCUGAAACCCAGGGGCAAACAUGGGGAACCCUACUAAGUCCCCCUCACACUUGGAGGGGAACACUGUAUUCAACUCUCUAUCCAGCCCUGCUACUCUCAGAGAAAUAGCAGGGGCUGAGGGGCCAAUCCUAGUGUGGGUCCCCUUCUCUAUGAUUGAUAUACAACAAUGUAAGGAAAAGCUAGGAAGCUAUUCUGAGGAUUCCGGGAAGUUUGCAGAUGGGUUCCAAACUUUGACCUUAGCCUUUGAUCUCUCAUGGAGAGACGUUCAAUUCACUCUAGCAACCUGUUGCACCUCCUCGGAAAAGGAACGAAUCUUUGAGGCUGCCCUCCGAGAAGUGGACGAAUUAUUCACCCAAAACCGUAAAGGCAGUCACCCAGGCCCAGCCACAGUUCCCACUACGCAUCCUAAUUGAGACCAAGACACCCCCGCAGGAAGGAACAACUGGGCUAAAUUUCUUGAGGCUCUUGGAGGAAUGAGAAAGGGAAUAACUAAGGCAGUAAAUUAUGAUAAAGUAAGGCAGAUUACACAAGGCAGGGAGGAAAACCCAGCUGUGUUUUACGGCAGGCUGCGGGAAGCCUUUAAAAAAUAUAUACUAAUUUGGUCCCUUCCUCUCCUGAAGGCAAGUUAUUAAUGGCACAACGUUUCAUUAGCCAAUCCACACCAGACAUUAGACGUAAGCUCCAAAAGCUACACAUGGGGCCACAAACUAACCAAAAUCAGCUUCUUGGUACUGCCUUCAUGGUGUAUAACAAUCGUGACCUGGAGGAAGGAGAAGGGAAACAGAGUAAAGAAAAACGGCAAGCCAAAAUUAUGUUAGCCAUCACUGGUGAUGCCCUAAAUGCACAAAGAUUGUCCAAGGGAAACUCAAAGGGCCAUAAGGAUAAUGCCAGCAAAGGCUCUUGCUUCAAAUGCAAUAAAAGUGCGAUUGGGCACAGGAAUCCACUAAGCCCCCGCCAGUCCCCUGCCGUCAAUGUAAAAGCACCAGUUGUGGCUCCUGGCCCUGGAGAAUUGACUGUCCCUGCUCCCACCAAGGGGCUCAGUCAGUCAAAACUCUGGCAGUGCACAAGGAGGAAUCAGAUGAAGACUGAAGGGGCCUGGGGCCUUCCUCACUGCCCCGUCUAGGAACAUUGUAAUUACUACUGAGGAACCCUGGGUAACUCUGGACAUCAUGGCCACCCAAAUUCAGUUUUUAUGUGAUACCAAGGUGAAUUAUUCUGUACAACUGCUUAUGCAGGAAAACUUUCCUCCCGGUCCAUGAGUGAUAUUGGAUGGAAGGGAAGCCACAAACAAGAUUCUUACUCCUCCUUUGGUUUGUCAAUUUGAGAAACAAAUCUUCCAACAGGAAUUUUUAGUAGUACCAAGCUGCCCAAUUCCCCUGUGGGAAAGAGAUAUUAUGGUGAAAAUAGUGACACUACUGCAAUUUAAGCAAUAUUAGCAGGUGAAACUGCUAAUAGUAAGAAAUAAGGCAAUGUCCCAGACCAUGUCAAUAAACAGGUUAACCCACUGGCAUGGUAUACUGGAAACCCAGGGAAGGCUAAAACAGCAGUGCCAGUCAAAAUACAGCUUAAAGACCCCAGCCAUUUUCCCAAUGGAAAACAAUACCCAGUUGAACAGGAAGCAAGCAAAGGUCUAGCUCCCAUAGUUGAGAUAUUACUUACCCAUGGACUCUUAAAACCCUGCAAUUCUCCCUGCAAUACCCCCAUCUUACCUGUUCUCAAGCCUGGGGGGAAUACCAGCUAGUACAGAACCUCAGAAUAAUGAAUGAGGCUGUUAUCCCCGUCCACCCAUUGGUGGCAGAUCCAUAUGCCCUCCUGGCUCAGGUGCCAGGGCAUGCAAAAUGGUUCUCAGUCCUAGACCUUUCUUCUCCAUUCCUCUGGCCCCGAGCCCCCCAGUACCUUUUUGCUUUCGAAUGGGAAAAUCCUAAUACCAGAUAAAAACAAUACACUUGGACAGUGCUUCCUCAGGGCUUUCGGGAUAGCCCCCACUUCUUUGCCUGAGCAUUAGAGCGGGAUCUGAGGGAUUUCAAGUUAGAAAAUGGAGGUAUUCUUCAGUAUGGGGAUGACCUUGUGUGUAGCCCAACCUAGGAGGUUUCUGACCAAAAUACUAUAAAAACUUUGAAUUUCCUGGCAGACAGAGGAUACAAAGUGUCCAAAAAGAAGGCUCAGAUUACCCUCCAAUGGGUCCACUAUUUAGGAUAUGUCUUAACACCCGGAACCCGGCAAAUAUCCCCAGAAGGAGUGCAAGCUAUAUGUGGUUUGGCCGCGUGCACCACCCCCAGCCCCCACCCUGACCCACCUCCAAGCAGCAGCUUUGUUCCUUUUUGGGGAUGGCCGGGCUUUGGAGAAUAUGAGUACCAAAUUUUGGGCUCAUAGCAAAGCCCCUAUAUGAAGCAACAAGGGGGCCUGAAAAUGAGCUAAUGGAAUGGACCCCGGAAAUGAGGAAAGCCUUUGCCAAGUUAAAACAGGUUCUCACCCAGGCUCCUGCUCUUGGUAUCCCAGACCUAAUUAAGGCCUUCUCCUUGUAUGUAGCAGAGAAGAGGGGCAUAGCUGUGGGAGUGCUAGCCCAGAAAUUAGGAUCAGAACCCAGACCAACCGCCUACUUCUCAAAAAAGUUGGACGGAGUGGCCUCAGGAUGGCCAAGUUGCCUGCGGGCAAUAGCAGCCACUGCUGUUAGUGGAGGAAGCCACUAAAAUCACCCUAGGGCAACCACUGGAAGUUCUAACGCUCCAUCAGGUAAAGUUAGUCUUAGAAAUAAAGGGACACAUCUGGAUGACAGGGGAAAUGUUAACUAAAUACCAGCCCAUGCUCCUAGACAAUCCAGAUAUAACUCUUAAAACCUGCAACACUUUAAAUCCAGCUUCAUUGCUGCCCACAGGCCCAAUAAUUGAUCAUUCCUGUGAGCAGGUCAUUGCACAUACAUAUGUUAGCCAGCCUGAUUUAAAAGAUGAGGCUCUCCCAGAUUCUGAAGCUGACCGGCUCACAGACGGCAGUAGUUCUUUGUCGAAUGGGGAGCACAGAGCUGGAUAUGCAGCAGUAAAUCAUGACACAAUUAUUGAAGCCCAGCCAGUGCCCCCUGGCACAUCAGCACAAAAGGCUAAAAUCAUUGAUCUUACUCAAGCAUUAAUGUUGGGACAAGGGAAAAAACUUAACAUCUAUACAGAUUCUAAAUAUGCAUUCCUUGUGGUUCAUGCUCAUACCGCCAUCAGGAAAGAAAGGGGAUUACUUACUAGCAAGCACUCCCCUAUAGAGCAUGGACCUGAAAUUCUGCAGCUAUUGAAGGCAAUACACCUGCCAAAGGCCAUAGCUAUCAUUCAUUGUAGGGGGCAUCAAAGGGACUUAACCCCUAUAGCACAAGGGAAUGGAAAGGCUGACGGAAGCCAAAGCAAAAGCCCUCAGCGUGCAAUCCCAACAGAUCCUAGCACUGCUUCCUUUCUACAAUUCCCCAGUAGAACCCAAAUACACACCACAGGAAGAACAGCUAAUAAAAAAAGCAAGGGAGACAAAAACAAGGAUCCUGGUGGCAUAUGGAGCCAAAAAUAUAUCUCCCUCAGGCAGCCCAGUGGAGAGUUAUAAAAGCCCUGCAUGACUCUUUCCAUGUGGGGAGGGAUGCGGCUCUGGCCAUGGUAAACAAGUUCUUUACUGGGUUUAACUCAGCUUCAAUGGCUAAGCAGGUCUGUCAAGCCUGCUCACUGUGUGCAUUUAACAAUCCAGGCAUCAAAAUGCCCCCUCUAAUAAAACCAGUCCAAAGGAGGGGAACUUAUCCAGGGGAAGACUGGCAGUUAGACGUCAUCCAUAUGCCAGCUUGCAGAGGAUACAAGCUUUUGUUAAUACUAAUAGAUACUUUUAGGUUGGGUCAAAGGUUACCCCAGAAAAGGCUAAUGAGGUUCUAAGGUCCUCUUAAAAGAAAUAAUUCCCCAGUUUGGGUUACCUCAGGGUCUCCAAAGUGAUAAUGGCUAAUCCUUUAUCUCCCAAAUAACUCAAGGGGUUGCUAAGGCUCUUGGAAUAAAAUACUAUUUACAUUCAGCCUGGAGGCCCCAAUCCUCUGGAAAAGUGGAAAGGGUUAACCAAACUCUAAAAUAAGCACUAGCUAAACUAUGUCAGGAAACAUCAGAAACUUGGGUUAGCUUAUUGCUCACAGCCCUUUUAAGAAUUUGUAAUACCCCUAGCUCAAAAAUUAACAGAAGCCCAUAUAAAAUGUUAUACAGAAGGCCAUUCUUAACUAAUGAUUUAAUUAUUGACCCAGAAAGAGUUGGUGUAAUUAAAUACCUAGUCAACCCAGAACAAUUCCAGCGGGUUUACAAGAGUUUGGAAUUCAAAGGCUCCUCACACUUGGAACUAACCAGCAACCCAAAAUCAGGCCAGGAGAUAGGGUACUUGUUAAAACAUGGAAUGAGGGAUCACCUGCCCAACAAUUACAACCCCAAUAGAAGGGACUUUUUUCAGUAAUACUGGCCACGUCUUCUGUGGUCAAAGUACUAGUAUUAGAUAGCUGGAUACAUCUUUCAAGGAUCAAACCAUCAAUACCAGAAGCUCCAGACCAGGAACCUGAAGUUCCCAUCAGCCAGUACACCUGUGAACCAGUGGAGGACCUGAAGUACCUGUUUAAAAGAUAGCCAAAAGAUAAGUAAAUGCCUACCAACUUUCUUUGGUGUCUUUGUUGCAUAGUUACUGUGGGCUGGAAAAUAGUAGCCAUUUUUAUCUUUGCAGUUUAAUUGCCUUCUUCCAAAUAGAUAAAAAUCACUUCCUUUGUAAUAAUUAAACAGAAUUUAAAAAAUACAUUUCUAUGACAAAUAUUCCUGAUGGCAUAAGUAUCCACCCCAAGGUUCCCAUUAAAUCUUUUAACCUAAAGUAUUUCCUCUCACCUAGAGAUCAUCGAGCUGUGUGACAAGGGUGCCAGCCACUCCAGGUGAAGACACCACCCCAGGCCAUCAAGGAUCUUCCCUACCUUCACUAAACAGAGCAGGGUGAAAGUUGUGUGAUCCCCAAUAGGUAGGGACUACACCCCAAGUCAGCAGGAAGCAGUUACAGAAGAAAGACCAUUGGUCCCUCUGCUUCCCAUAAAGAUUUAUGGGGAUCACAGCUUUCACGGGGGAGAUGAGGCAAGAGAAUAGGGCAUGCAGGCAGGGUACUUGAGGCCAAUCCACGCUGACUUCCUAGAACUGAAUUAAAUGAAAGCUCCUCAGCAAUGACAGGAAUGUGAAUGGCUUUGUAACUUCUUCCUCUCCAUUAAUGCUAUUUCCACUUUGUAACUUCACUUUCAUCCUCUCCAUUUACAUAGAUCACACACCAAGUAACAUCCUCUCCAUUUACAGUAGGGCGCAUUCCGAGUCAAUGACUCUGACUGCACUUCGUUCUCCUCAUUUACAUAGAACAUUCGCCAAGUAACCAAUGGGAAACCUCUAGAGUAUUGAAACUCCAGAAAAUUCCGUAAGUGGGGCUCUUGAGCGUCUACACUCGGGUCGCUCCCACACUGUGGCGUGUACUUUUAUUCUCAAUAAAUUCCCGCUUUUGCUUUCCUCGUUC